Megalobrama amblycephala (Wuchang bream) is the source of this 886-nucleotide long non-coding RNA. RefSeq lists it as uncharacterized. The record is from RefSeq and is a predicted model, not a curated record. NCBI's taxonomy places the organism in Eukaryota, Metazoa, Chordata, Actinopteri, Cypriniformes, Xenocyprididae. The transcript is spliced from 2 exons.
GACUUAAAAUACCAAGUUUAUUUAAAUCAUUAGCAUACAUGACAUCAUAGUCCAUCAUCUGUCACUAUCGUUAUGACAGGAUUGUCCAGUUUAUGAUAUAUAAACCAAUACAAAGCCUCCUUUUACUCAGUCCUCUCUGCAUCCAUACAAACAAACAAACCCACAUCUGAUAAUGCCUAGAUCUGUUUAAAUAAACCAAUAACAGGAAGAACACCCCCUGUUUCCUAUUCCUGUGCUCUGGGCAUGAAUAUUCCCCCAGUGGUCACUGCCUUCUCCCACGAUUCUCAGUGGGAAGUCUCUGGCUCCUUGCGUACGUCGUCGCUGUGAGGCAGACGUGUCAGGGGAAUACUGAAGAAUGUCUUUUUUGGGGUCUGUUGUGUUUUCACUCCCCACCUUUUCUCUGUAAUCCUCCCUCUAGGUUAUACAUAGCUGACAGCAUGGAGCUCUGAAUAGCCACUAAUAACCAGUGGGACCAAAAUGCAAGAGGAAGAGAAAACAUGUGCUUUCCACUGAUCCAGAGUAGUAACAGUCCACAGUUAUCAAUUUAUCUUGCGCGGACGUGAAUCAGAGUCCCAGACGUUGAGGUUUUCUCUGUUGAAAAUACAUCAUCUUUUUGGUACUGAUUGGAACGCCGACCAUGGAAAAUCCACAAAGUGCUCUCUGAAGUAUGUUAAAAAUAAAUUAAUAUGCUCUUGACAGUCAUUAGAACCAUACUAAACAAAGAGUUUACUGGGUCUAUAAUUGUUAUCCCUCAAGACUCUUGACUAAUGACGUUCAUGCUACUAUUGUUUUUCUGUAGUGACCUAUUCUGAUCUCUAAUGGCUCCUCUGUUUCUUUCCAGAAGUUAUGACCAAUAAAAAUGUUUAAUGUUUAGUACUCUUUCAAA